UACGAAGGGGGCUAGCGUUGCUCGGAAUCACUGGGCGUAAAGCGCACGUAGGCGGACUCUUAAGUCGGUGGUGAAAUCCUGGAGCUCAACUCCAGAACUGCCUUCGAUACUGAGAGUCUCGAGUCCGGGAGAGGUGAGUGGAACUGCGAGUGUAGAGGUGAAAUUCGUAGAUAUUCGCAAGAACACCAGUGGCGAAGGCGGCUCACUGGCCCGGUACUGACGCUGAGGUGCGAAAGCGUGGGGAGCAAACCGG
Molecule: ribosomal RNA, 253 nt
Filed under: uncultured bacterium
Lineage: Bacteria
Description: partial 16S ribosomal RNA
Rfam family: Bacterial small subunit ribosomal RNA
Source: RNAcentral